This 458-nucleotide ribosomal RNA is filed under the name uncultured bacterium. RNAcentral describes it as "bacterial SSU rRNA". It matches the Rfam family "Bacterial small subunit ribosomal RNA", at positions 340 to 786 of the family's 1533-position model. The record is from RNAcentral.
UACGGAAGGCAGCAGGUGGGGAAUAUUGCACAAUGGGCGAAAGCCUGAUGCAGCUAUGCCGCGUGUAUGAAGAAGGCCUUAGGGUUGUAAAGUACUUUCAUCGGGGAGGAAAAACAAAACUAAUAAUUUUAUUUCUUGACGUUACCCGAAAAAGAAGCACCGGCUAACUCCGUGCCAGCAGCCGCGGUAAUACGGAGGGUGCUAGCGUUAAUCAGAAUUACUGGGCGUAAAGAGCACGUAGGUGGUUUUUUUAAGUCAGAUGUGAAAUCCCUGGGCUUAACCUAGGAACUGCAUUUUGAAACUGAAAUACUAGAGUAUCGUAGAGGGAGGUAGAAUUCUAGGUGUAGCGGUGAAAUGCGUAGAUAUCUGGAGGAAUACCUGUGGCGAAAGCGGCCUCCUAAACGAAUACUGACACUGAGGGUGCGAAAGCGUGGGGAGCAAAACAGGGAUUAGAUACC